Long non-coding RNA from Patella vulgata (common limpet), 760 nucleotides. RefSeq lists it as uncharacterized. NCBI's taxonomy places the organism in Eukaryota, Metazoa, Mollusca, Gastropoda, Patellidae. The record is from RefSeq and is a predicted model, not a curated record. The transcript has 4 exons.
GAAUCAGCCGCUUUCAGUUAAUCCCCUCACGGCGGCCAUCUUGAAGAGUGGCUUACAGAACGAGUCGGCACGGAAAAGUAUUUGUGAGAAAAAUCUCGACUGAUAACACGGUUUUUGUAGCUCUAACUUCCAAGAUGCACCAACUUGAUGGUAAAAGGGUGUUUAAAACGAUUUUCAUGGUAUCUACCCGUCAAACGAAUCCCACAGCACGUAAAAUGCACCUGUUUCUUGGCCACCACUCGGUGUAAAUAAGCCUGACUUUGCUUGAUGGGCGUGUCAAAUAGAAGUAAGAUGAAGAGGGCAGUUGCUGACCAUAUAACAUGAUAUAUUGUACUAAUGGUUAUUUUAUAUCGAUAGAAAUGGUAAAAGAAAAAGACAAGGGUUUUUGUUUAUCUGGGAUUAUUGCGAUGACAGCUGGAAAGAAAUCCCUACUUUGACAAGCAAAACAAUGGUAAAAGGGUGCCAUUUGGUAUAUAUGCCUGCGCAAACAACAAAAUGACAGGUAAUUCUAUGUAACACGGAGUCUAUAAUUAUGAGAGAUAUUUGAUGCUAUCAUGCCAAACAGACAGACUUGUCAUUAUAACUAUAUUGUCUAUAGUCACAUAAAUUAAACGCGAAUGCUAUGUUAAUAUUUUUGGUGAAACAAUAACUGUUAUUUGUCAUAUUAUAGGUUAAUAGCAAUAAGAAUGUAAUCUUCUGUCUUUAAAACGCUUGACUUACAAUUAUGGUUGGAGACAUUGCGAAAAUUACCUAUCAUUCU